CGGGAUGAUCUGGUCUUUCUUGCGCAGAAUAGGUGGGAGGCAUUGAAGAAGGUCUUGUGGGAUCUUUGGAGCCGAUCGUGAGAUACCACUCUUUUAAAGCUCGGAUUCUCACUCUCUACCGUAAUCCGGGGAGAGGACACUCCCAGGUGGGCAGUUUGACUGGGGCGGUCGCCUCCUAAAAGGUAACGGAGGCGCACAAAGGUUUCCUCAGAUCGGAUAGAAAUCGAUCGAAGAGUGUAAAGGCAAAAGGAAGCUUGACUGCGAGACGUACAAGUCAAGCAGAGACGAAAGUCGGUCUUAGUGAUCCGACGAUCCUGAGUGGAAAGGUCGUCGCUCAACGGAUAAAAGUUACUCUAGGGAAAACAGGGCUGAA
Molecule: ribosomal RNA, 373 nt
Filed under: uncultured organism
Description: bacterial LSU rRNA
Rfam family: Bacterial large subunit ribosomal RNA
Source: RNAcentral